RNAcentral lists this ribosomal RNA (253 nucleotides) under uncultured bacterium. Its description in RNAcentral is "partial 16S ribosomal RNA". It matches the Rfam family "Bacterial small subunit ribosomal RNA", at positions 524 to 776 of the family's 1533-position model. The record is from RNAcentral.
UACGGAGGGGACUAGCGUUGUUCGGAAUUACUGGGCGUAAAGCGCACGUAGGCGGAUUUGUAAGUCAGGGGUGAAAUCCCGGGGCUCAACCUCGGAACUGCCUUUGAUACUGCAAAUCUCGAGUCCGGAAGAGGUGAGUGGAAUUCCUAGUGUAGAGGUGAAAUUCGUAUAUAUUAGGAAGAACACCAGUGGCGAAGGCGGCUCACUGGUCCGGUACUGACGCUGAGGUGCGAAAGCGUGGGGAGCAAACAGG